This 313-nucleotide unclassified non-coding RNA is filed under the name plant metagenome. RNAcentral describes it as "partial contains 5.8S ribosomal RNA, internal transcribed spacer 2, and large subunit ribosomal RNA". The stretch from base 1 to 104 matches the Rfam family "5.8S ribosomal RNA", at positions 51 to 154 of the family's 154-position model. The record is from RNAcentral.
AAAUGCGAUAAUUAAUGUGAAUUGCAGAAUUCAGUGAAUCAUCGAGUCUUUGAACGCACCUUGCGCCCCCUGGUAUUCCGGGGGGCAUGCCUGUCCGAGCGUCAUUGCUGCCCUCAAGCACGGCUUGUGUGUUGGGCUUCCGUCCCUGGCAACGGGGACGGGCCCAAAAGGCAGUGGCGGCACCAUGUCUGGUCCUCGAGCGUAUGGGGCUUUGUCACCCGCUCCCGUAGGUCCAGCUGGCAGCUAGCCUCGCAACCAAUCUUUUUAACCAGGUUGACCUCGGAUCAGGUAGGGAUACCCGCUGAACUUAAGC